CUUAGAAAAAAUGUGCUCUUUCGAUCAAGCUUCAAAAACAGUGAGUUUUUCAUCACUAAACAACCCAAUUCGGAAUGGCACGUAAAUACAUGUACGUCCUUACAAAUAACAAAAUCUGUCGAUCUUACCGGGAAUGGUCACUCAAUCCAUAGGGCAGCGGCUACAUGUAAUAUUCUUGAAAGUACCUUUUGUAUGAAGCUGAAGGCAAGGUGUGCAUUGAAAAAUCUCGGAAAAUCCACUGUAUUAAUGUAUUAACACAGGAGACUAUUACUGUAAACUUGGAUAAUUGAUAGCGCAAAGGUUGGCUUCCCAGUUGAAGGACAAUAAUUCAAGCUCCACUUGUCGAGCAAAAAGCGUUCAAUUAUGGAAUAGCCGUACUGGCGGCAAAUAGAUAAAAAAGUAAUCAAUCGCGAGAGAUCAACGAUACAUCUCUCAGUUUAAGAAUUAAAAAAAAAAACAAGAGAAUAAGUUAUAUAAAGCAACGCACGGUAACAAAUAGGCAUAAGCUGCGGCUGUAAACUAUAUUGCUCAGAUUGUAAUCUUGUGAAUAUAUGUAUUAUAAAAAAAAAGAACAGAGUAAAUUACUAUUCGUGGGCACUCUAUGUUUGAGGUGAUUGAAUAAAUUAAAUUGAAAUUCACGGAAAAAACUCUUGAUGAAACUCAUAUUAGUUGUAACCUUUUUAUUUAAUACAAAACCAGUAAAAAAGUAAAAUUAUUUAGAGUAAACGAGCAAUUUAAGGCAUGCGCAAAGUUAGGCAUAUCAUGCGCAAAGUUAGGAACAAUUCAGAUUUUGUGCGCAAUGUUAGGCACAAGGUGUUGCAUCACCUUUCGCAUUUUUUUAAUUUUUUGCGAAUCAUUUUUUUUUUUAAAUCACGCUUUCUACUGAAGGGUUAAAAGCCUAUCGUUGGCAGAAGUUUGAAUAAAAAGAUACAUAUUUUAGCCUUAUUUGAAGCAAAAAUACGAUGAUAAUUUCUUAACUGCGCAAAGUUUGGUGCGUACACGG
Aedes aegypti (yellow fever mosquito) is the source of this 1003-nucleotide long non-coding RNA. RefSeq lists it as uncharacterized. The record is from RefSeq and is a predicted model, not a curated record. The transcript has 2 exons. Lineage: Eukaryota; Metazoa; Arthropoda; Insecta; Diptera; Culicidae.